CCCUAGCCCUGAUUGCAGCGGCUACCCCGCAACACGCGUGGGGAAAAGCGCAGGCGUGAGGAGUAAUAGCGGAAAGCAGGUUCCCGG
Molecule: unclassified non-coding RNA, 87 nt
Filed under: Kaistella treverensis
Lineage: Bacteria; Pseudomonadati; Bacteroidota; Flavobacteriia; Flavobacteriales; Weeksellaceae
Description: Chryseobacterium treverense Flavo-1 RNA
Source: RNAcentral